This 339-nucleotide unclassified non-coding RNA is filed under the name soil metagenome. Its description in RNAcentral is "partial contains 5.8S ribosomal RNA, internal transcribed spacer 2, and large subunit ribosomal RNA". The stretch from base 1 to 120 matches the Rfam family "5.8S ribosomal RNA", at positions 35 to 154 of the family's 154-position model. The record is from RNAcentral.
GAUGAAGAACGUAGCGAAAUGCGAUAACUAAUGUGAAUUGCAGAAUUCAGUGAAUCAUCGAGUCUUUGAACGCACAUUGCGCCCCCUGGUAUUCCGGGGGGCAUGCCUGUCCGAGCGUCAUUGCUGCCCUCAAGCACGGCUUGUGUGUUGGGCUCCGUCCCCCCGGGGACGGGCCCGAAAGGCAGCGGCGGCACCGAGUCCGGUCCUCGAGCGUAUGGGGCUUUGUCACCCGCUCUGUAGGCCCGGCCGGCGCCAGCCGACAACCCAUCAUCCUUUUCAGGUUGACCUCGGAUCAGGUAGGGAUACCUGCUGAACUUAAGCAUAUCAAUAAGCGGAGGA